CGAACGCUGGCGGCGUGCCUAACACAUGCAAGUCGUACGAGAAACACAUCCUUCGGGGUGUGGAGUAAAGUGGCGAACGGGUGAGUAUCACGUGGGUAACCUACCCUUGAGUUUGGGAUAACUGGCCGAAAGGCCCGCUAAUACCGAAUAAGACCACGGGAACUUCGGUUCCUGAGGUAAAAGUCGGCCUCUCGACGAAGCUGACGCUCAUGGAUGGGCCCGCGGACCAUUAGCUUGUUGGUAGGGUAACGGCCUACCAAGGCUGAGAUGGUUAGCUGGUCUGAGAGGAUGAUCAGCCACACUGGAACUGAUACACGGUCCAGACUCCUACGGGAGGCAGCAGUGAGGAAUAUUGCGCAAUGGGGAAAACCCUGACGCAGCAACGCCGCGUGAGUGAAGAAGGCCUUCGGGUUGUAAAGCCCUGUCAGGUGGGAAGAAACCUAUGCAGUCGAAUAGGCUGUAGAGCUGACGGUACCACCAAAGGAAGCACCGGCUAACUCC
RNAcentral lists this ribosomal RNA (501 nucleotides) under uncultured bacterium. RNAcentral describes it as "bacterial SSU rRNA". It matches the Rfam family "Bacterial small subunit ribosomal RNA", at positions 30 to 504 of the family's 1533-position model. The record is from RNAcentral.